AAAAUAUUCAGCAUUCAUUUUAUUAUCCUUUUUAAUUUUGCUUAUUAGACACUCAUGUCAUUCAUGCUCUGAUUCGUUACUGGAAAACAUCUCAGUAUAUAACAGUUGGUCCAGUGCUUGUGAGACAAUAUUCCAAGAAAUACCUUGGGAAAGUCGGAAGGCUAUUAGAGUGCACACAGCAAGCUUGCUUAUUCAGUGGCUGCCUUGCUUAGCUGUAUGUGAAACUGAAUAAUGGAGCAAGAAAAUAGCAGGGACUUCCCAUAUAUUUUAGCAUCCACUUUAGUGAGCGACUGUGCUGUUUCAGUGCAGUGUACAGUAUUAUCUCCAGGCAAGUGUGGCUGUUGUGCGUGCUGUAACUUCUCUCAAAAGAAAAAUGCUUUUACUGCCCGUUUGGGUGAUGCUACAAAGCAAGUGACGUGUUAACCUGUCCAAGCUUAGCGCCGCACRCAGUGAGGCAUCCGCAGCAUCAGUCGCCUGCUGAUUCUUUUACUGCAGUGUCAUCAGUAGCUGAGGCAUUCACAGCUGAGAGCCAAGGAGCCUCCAGGAGGGGGACCCUGAGCACGUAGGACACUGCAUUGGCAUUGCAUGUAGGUGAACAUGUUGGAGUUCUGAAAGCAAUCCUGUGGCUCGGAAGAACUCUUGGAAGCUGGGUUGUGAGAAAAGAAACAYGGGCUCUCGUGAAGCCGACAUAUUCAAACACAUUCUUCAAAAUAACGUUUUGUUUUUUUCUGGCAAUAUAAUUUGAAUUUGGAAUGCAGCAAUAAUUAACUUCCUGGGACUAAUAUGAUACAGGACAACCAGCAAGAAGAAAAUCAAGCACUUGCACGUUGGUACUGAGGUGUUUUUUUGGUCCCUUUUGAUUUUGCUCUGAGGGUAUUGUGAGCUAAAAGGAAUCAUUGGAAGUUGUAGUAUGAAAUUCCGUGUUACUUGUUGAACAGCAAAUUAAACUUAAUUAGCUAAAGCUUUAUUGUCUUAUGUUAAUCUUAAUAAAGUGUGUGGAGUGGAUUAUUUCACUGUGAAUGUCUGUAUAGUUCUCUCAAAUGACAAUGAGGAACAGCAAUACAAAAUGCUAAUAGCUGCUUCUCGACAUCAUUCAGAAUUAUGUGGUUUUUGUYGUAGUUUGUAUGAAACUGUAAAACAUUCCUGAGUGUUUUAUUCAGAACUGGAAGUGAAGGGUUAAGAUAGAAGCAACAUUCUAGUAAUAUUUGCACGUGACAUAUUUCCUUUGUUAAUCUUUCUCUUUGAUCUCUCUUUUGGAGCAAAUUGAACAUACUGUGUAUGUUAGAAGGUAUUUCUGGAGGUUGCUAGUGCAUGUGGUGGAUGAAGCCAGUGGAUUGUAUAGUACACUGUGUAAUUUCCUUCUAAAAAAUGAGAUCUGAUACCUUAUUUAAAUAUAUUUAAUUUUUGAAUAACUUGAUCCCUUGCUUAGGUUUAGCAAGCUCUGAAAGUUUUCAAUGCUGCUUUUUACUUUGUAUGCUU
Long non-coding RNA from Nothoprocta perdicaria, 1479 nucleotides. RefSeq lists it as uncharacterized. The transcript has 4 exons. Lineage: Eukaryota; Metazoa; Chordata; Aves; Tinamiformes; Tinamidae. The record is from RefSeq and is a predicted model, not a curated record.